Molecule: ribosomal RNA, 806 nt
Filed under: uncultured bacterium
Lineage: Bacteria
Description: bacterial SSU rRNA
Rfam family: Bacterial small subunit ribosomal RNA
Source: RNAcentral
GCUUAACACAUGCAAGUCGAACGAGAAUCUAAUGAAGGAGGAUUCGUCCAACGGAAGUAGAGGAAAGUGGCGGACGGGUGAGUAACGCGUGAGGAACCUGCCUUGAAGAGGGGGACAACAGUUGGAAACGACUGCUAAUACCGCAUGAUGCAUAAGGGUCGCAUGAUUCUUAUGCCAAAGAUUUAUCGCUUCAAGAUGGUAUCGCGUCUGAUUAGCUAGUUGGCGGGGUAACGGCCCACCAAGGCGACGAUCAGUAGCCGGACUGAGAGGUUGAACGGCCACAUUGGGACUGAGAUACGGCCCAGACUCCUACGGGAGGCAGCAGUGGGGAAUAUUGGGCAAUGGGCGCAAGCCUGACCCAGCAACGCCGCGUGAAGGAAGAAGGCUUUCGGGUUGUAAACUUCUUUUAAGAGGGAAGAGCAGAAGACGGUACCUCUAGAAUAAGCCACGGCUAACUACGUGCCAGCAGCCGCGGUAAUACGUAGGUGGCAAGCGUUGUCCGGAUUUACUGGGUGUAAAGGGCGUGCAGCCGGGUCUGCAAGUCAGAUGUGAAAUCCAUGGGCUCAACCCAUGAACUGCAUUUGAAACUGUAGAUCUUGAGUGUCGGAGGGGCAAUCGGAAUUCCUAGUGUAGCGGUGAAAUGCGUAGAUAUUAGGAGGAACACCAGUGGCGAAGGCGGAUUGCUGGACGAUAACUGACGGUGAGGCGCGAAAGUGUGGGGAGCAAACAGGAUUAGAUACCCUGGUAGUCCACACUGUAAACGAUGAAUACUAGGUGUGCGGGGACUGACCCCCUGCGUGCCGCAG